GACGAACGCUGGCGGCGUGCUUAACACAUGCAAGUCGAACGGAAAGGCCCUGCUUGCAGGGUACUCGAGUGGCGAACGGGUGAGUAACACGUGGGUGAUCUGCCCUGCACUUCGGGAUAAGCUUGGGAAACUGGGUCUAAUACCGGAUAGGAACCAUCUUUAGUGUGGUGGUUGGAAAGUUUUUUCGGUGUAGGAUGAGCUCGCGGCCUAUCAGCUUGUUGGUGGGGUAAUGGCCUACCAAGGCGGCGACGGGUAGCCGGCCUGAGAGGGUGUACGGCCACAUUAGGACUGAGAGACGGGCCAGAGUGCUACGGGAGGCAGCAGUGGGGAAUAUUGGACAAUGGGAGGCAGCCUGAUGCAGGGAGGCCGCGUGGGGGAUGAAGGCCUUCGGGUGGUAAAAACCUUUCGCUAGGGACGAAGCUUUGUUGUGACGGUACCUAGAUAAGAAGCACCGGCUAACUACGUG
RNAcentral lists this ribosomal RNA (466 nucleotides) under uncultured bacterium. Its description in RNAcentral is "partial 16S ribosomal RNA". It matches the Rfam family "Bacterial small subunit ribosomal RNA", at positions 28 to 507 of the family's 1533-position model. The record is from RNAcentral.